GAUGAACGCUGGCGGCGUGCCUAAUACAUGCAAGUCGAGCGAACAGACGAGGAGCUUGCUCCUCUGACGUUAGCGGCGGACGGGAGAGUAACACGUGGAUAACCUACCUAUAUGACUGGGAUAACUUCGGGAAACCGGAGCUAAUACCGGAUAAUAUCUUGAACCGCAUGGUUCAAUAGUGAAAGACGGUUUUGGUGUCACUUCUAGAUGGAUCCGCGCCGUAUUAGCUGGUUGGUAAGGUAAAGGCUUACCAAGGAAACGAUGCGGAGCCGACCUGGGAGGGUGGUCGCCCACACUGGAACUGGGACACGGUCCAGGGUCCUACGGGAGGGAGCAGAAGGAAAUCUUCCGCAAUAGGCGGGAGCCUGGCGGAGCGACGGCACGUGUGUUAUGAAGAUCUUCGGAGCGGAAAACUCUGUUAUGAGGGAAAAACAAAUGUGUAAGUAACUGAACACUUCUUGACGGUACCUGAUCAAGAAGCCACGGCUAACUACGUG
This 497-nucleotide ribosomal RNA is filed under the name uncultured bacterium. Its description in RNAcentral is "partial 16S ribosomal RNA". It matches the Rfam family "Bacterial small subunit ribosomal RNA", at positions 28 to 507 of the family's 1533-position model. The record is from RNAcentral.